RNAcentral lists this ribosomal RNA (562 nucleotides) under uncultured bacterium. RNAcentral describes it as "partial 16S ribosomal RNA". It matches the Rfam family "Bacterial small subunit ribosomal RNA", at positions 355 to 932 of the family's 1533-position model. The record is from RNAcentral.
UGGGGAAUAUUGCACAAUGGGCGCAAGCCUGAUGCAGCAACGCCGCGUGAGGGGUGACGGCCUUCGGGUUGUAAACCUCUUUUAGUAGGGAAGAAGCGAAAGUGACGGUACCUGCAGAAAAAGCACCGGCUAACUACGUGCCAGCAGCCGCGGUAAUACGUAGGGUGCGAGCGUUGUCCGGAAUUAUUGGGCGUAAAGGGCUCGUAGGCGGUCUGUCGCGUCUGCUGUGAAAACCCGAGGCUCAACCUCGGGCCUGCAGUGGGUACGGGCAGACUAGAGUGCGGUAGGGGAGAAUGGAAUUCCUGGUGUAGCGGUGGAAUGCGCAGAUAUCAGGAGGAACACCGAUGGCGAAGGCAGUUCUCUGGGCCGUAACUGACGCUGAGGAGCGAAAGCGUGGGGAGCGAACAGGAUUAGAUACCCUGGUAGUCCACGCCGUAAACGUUGGGCGCUAGAUGUGGGGACCAUUCCACGGUUUCCGUGUCGCAGCUAACGCAUUAAGCGCCCCGCCUGGGGAGUACGGCCGCAAGGCUAAAACUCAAAGGAAUUGACGGGGUCAUAGCUG